This 484-nucleotide ribosomal RNA is filed under the name uncultured bacterium. RNAcentral describes it as "partial 16S ribosomal RNA". It matches the Rfam family "Bacterial small subunit ribosomal RNA", at positions 30 to 507 of the family's 1533-position model. The record is from RNAcentral.
AUUGAACGCUGGCGGCAGGCCUAACACAUGCAAGUCGAGCGGAUGAAGUGAGCUUGCUUCUGGAUUCAGCGGCGGACGGGUGAGUAAUGCCUAGGAAUCUGCCUGGUAGUUGGGGAUAACGUCCGGUCACGGGCGCUAAUACCGCAUACGUCCUGCGUGUGAAAGUUGUUGCUCUUCGGACCUCACGCUAUCAGAUGAUCCUAGGUCGGAUUAGCUAGUUGUUGGGGUAAAGGCCUACCAAGGCGACGAUCCGUAACUGGUCUGAGAGGAUGAUCAGGCACACUGGAACUGAGACACGGUCCAGACUCCUACGGGAGGCAGCAGUGGGGAAUAUUGGACAAUGGGCGAAAGCCUGAUCCAGCCAUGCCGCGUGUGUGAAGAAGGUCUUCGGAUUGUAAAGCACUUUAAGUUGGGAGGAAGGGAAGUAAGUUAAUACAUUGCUGUUUUGACGUUACCAACAGAAUAAGCACCGGCUAACUUCGUG